AGUGAACGCUGGCGGUAGGCCUAACACAUGCAAGUCGAACGGCAGCACAGUAAGAGCUUGCUCUUACGGGUGGCGAGUGGCGGACGGGUGAGGAAUACAGCGGAAUCUACUUUUUGGUGGGGGAUAACGUAGGGAAACUUACGCUACUACCGCAUACGACCUACGGGUGAAAGCAGGGGAUCUUCAGACCUUGCGCGAAUGAAUGAGCCGAUGUGGGAUUAGCUAUUUGGCGGGGUAAAGGCCCACCAAGCCGACGAUCCGUAGCUGGUCUGAGAGGAUGAUCAGCCACACGGGAACUGAGCCACGGUCCAGACCCCUACGGGAGGCAGCAGUGGGGAAUAUUGGACAAUGGGCGCAAGCCUGACCCAGCCAUACCGCGUGGGUGAAGAAGGCCUUCGGGUUGUAAAGCCCUUUUGUUGGGAAAGAAAAGCAGCAGGUUAAUACCCCGCUGUUCUGACGGUACCCAAAGAAUAAGCACCGGCUAACUUCGUG
Molecule: ribosomal RNA, 492 nt
Filed under: uncultured bacterium
Lineage: Bacteria
Description: partial 16S ribosomal RNA
Rfam family: Bacterial small subunit ribosomal RNA
Source: RNAcentral